Amphiprion ocellaris (clown anemonefish) is the source of this 3960-nucleotide long non-coding RNA. Lineage: Eukaryota; Metazoa; Chordata; Actinopteri; Pomacentridae. The record is from Ensembl.
GAAAUAAUGUAAAGGACGCCGUGAAAAACACUCCAGAAAGGUUUUCUUUGAAAAAAACAUCAUCAUGAAUUUUGGCACAAACAAACGUCAUAGUAAACUACAUACAAACAUUUUGGACGACAUACGAAACUAUGACAUUUUUGUCAUAUUUUGGACGACAUACUAAACUAUGAGGUUUUUGUCAUAUUUUGGACGACAUACUAAACUAUGACGUUAGAUGAUUGACCAUGAACAUCCAAUCAGUUUUAUCUAAAUUUGAAUCCAUUCUGUGAUGAUAUUCAAGAGAUUUUCAGUUCGUGAGAAUGAGACACACAAGGGAAAAACUAAAUGCUGUUUUGGAGGCACAGAACUCUUGUGUGAUUGGACUAUUGACAGGAAGUGAAACCCAGCAGAUGUAACUGCAACAUUUUAUUGGUUCAACACACACACACUAAAACUCUGUGACAGCUUCAAACUGUAAGUGACACAAUGCACAAAAUGGCACCAAUGACGAACAAGUCGACCGGACGAACACGAAGCAAAGAGAAAGAACUGUAGAAGUGUUCAGUGCUGAUCUGCCAACAUUCUCCGGAGGUUCCAGGAACGUUCCCAACAGUCGUACCCAAGUGCGUUUCUCAGACAAGUCCUCCGAGUCCUCGAGACGACGCCAACAUCGAGGCGUCGCCGAGUUCGGCUUCUGGCUCAGUAAACGAUGAUUCACAUUUACAACAACUUUAAAAAACAAAACCUCUAAAGCAACAUUUCCACAAGAAGUACUCAGUAAUGACGAGUAGAAACGGAGUAUUAAGCAGUAGUAUUAUGUACAGUACGUCUGAUAUCUAACAGCGAACGUUUCAGAUCGAGAGGCGACAAAACCGAAGUCCGAACCAGCGACCGUCUGACACAGAAAAGUUAAAGGCCACAGAGUCCAGCAGCCUUUUACACACAUUCAACGGUUUACUUUCAGUUUGUACAGAGGGAAACAGGAAGUCACCAAAACACACUCAACAGGCUACUUCAGAAUAAAAGCUUCAGGUGCUGUUUGCAGUUUAGCAUCAUGUAGAGAAAACAGUACGAAGAAACGUUAGUAUUUUUAAUAGUUCGAUAUGUUUUACUUGAAGUUUGAUGAAAGAAUGUAAACAGUUCAUUAGUUUAUCUCAGGAUUUCUUUUUAUUCAACUCUGCUAAACCCGUUAUUGAAGAUAUUAUGAAUAAAUGUAGGUUUCUGUAUCAAAAUAAACAGAAAUUAUAGGAUAAUUAGCAAAAUUGGAUAUUUAUGUUGACAAAAAAACUUGUUUGCAAAUAAAAAUGUGUAAAAACCAGGAUUAACUCCUCCAAUUGUAAACUAUAAAGUAAAUGUAUUCUUAAAAAAUUGACAACUGAAUAUUUCAUAUUUUUAAGGAUUUUUUUUCCUUUUUUCUCAAAUUGUUCUAAACGUUUAGUCUUUUAAUGAAAUCUGCAGUUUGAGUUGUUUCACCAGAUAUUAGAAUCACUAAAAUACCUUAAAUCGUUUAGAAAUUAGUUCAAAACUCACAUUUGUACCACAUUUUAAUGAUAACGAUGUAACAUUUGAAUCUACUUGUGCUGAUAUUCUAACAUGAAUGUAAUUAAUGCUCCCUAAAAUUAUGUUAUUAAAAAGUAAUUCCGAUGUUUAUUUACAUGUUUUUUCUUUUUUUUGGUUAAAUGUUAUUUUUGCUGCUUCUGUCAGAUAAAAUGACGCACCGAUGAUUUUAUAUAUUUAAUUAAAUUUAAAUUCAAAUUAGCAACGUUUGAUUAUCUUUGAAAUUAAUUAAAUUAGAAAUAAUAAAAGUGUUAAACUGGUUAAAACUGGCAGUGAAGUUCAGAGAGAGUUGGAGCUUUUAUUGUGAAGGCGUUUGGCCGCAGCUCUUAUUUUGGCGACACCCUGACUUCCUGAACCGAGUGUGAAACUUUGAGAUUCUUUGUUUGAUCAGAAGUGUGGAGUUUUUUUGUGUCCUUCAGUAGAAAGAAGCGAAUGAAAGUUGAUCCGAUCCGAAGCGACGACCGGCGUCCAGCAGGGGGCGCCGAGAACCAGAACACGAGUUUUUAUUCCAACACGGAAAAGAUCCACGAACUCUGGGAGAUUUAAUUCACAUAUUUAGAAUCAGAAAUAUUGUUUUUAGAGUUUUCAGAUCUGAGAUGUAGUUUAAACUAAUUUAUAUUUAGAAAGAAAUGUUAUAAAUGUUGAGUUUCCAGAUGAAAAUCAAACAAAUUUACUGGAAGAAAAGUAGAUUUGUAGUAAAAAUGUGACGUUUUUGUUGCUGUUUAUAAUUAGAAAUCCAAAGUAGUUUAGUUUAAACUUUGAUUUAUUUAAAAACUUAUGUUGAACUUGUUCCACCAAACCUCAGUUUAUAUCAUUAAUAUACAAAAAGUUUAGAAAUUAAACCUAAAAUUUGCUAGUUUUGUAGACAAACUAUACAAGUUAAAAUUCUAAAUGUUGCGAUUUUAAGUCUUAAUAGAAGAAUUUUACAUAAUUAAUGAUCAUUUUUAGGUAAAUUACAAAUUCCAGUGGUUAUAUUUAAACAACGAUUUGAGUUGAAUGAGAAUUUUAGCCGUUUAAAGUUCAUCUUUUUAGCUGAAAUUUCAAAAAUGUCAAAGUUUUCUUCUUCCUAAAUGUGAGUUGAUAAGUUUAACCCUUGUGUCGUCCUGUGGGUCAAAUUGACCCGUUUUAAAGUUUGAAAAUGUGGGAAAAAAAAAAUUAUUUUCACAGUGAAACUUCUGAUGUCCACAUUUUCAACAUUUUUGGGAAAUUUUUGAACAUUUUUUGGUGGAAAAAAAAUAAAUGUUAAAAAUGUUUCUUAAGAAGAUUCACAAAAAAUCAAAAUCCAGCGAAAUUCGCUGGAUUUUGGUUUAUUUUUAUGUGAAUCUUCUUAAAGAAAAUAUUAGAAGUUUUACUGAUAUGUAUGGAAUCACUAGAUAUUUUUAGGAUUUUUUUUGAAGAUUUUUACUAAUUUUUUGAAAAUGUUUACUAGAAUUUUUUUUGCCAAAUUUGGGGGAUUUUAUUUUUUUUUUACAAAGCUUUUAAUGGAAACUUUGAACGAAUUAUUGGAAUUUUCUUCCUGAAGGUUUUGAAAAUUUUCAGAAGUUUGUGGAAUUUUUUUUGGCUGAAUUUUUGGAUUUUUUUCAGGCAAGGAAACAAUAUUUUUUGGUGCCUGUAAAUGAAGACAACAGGAGGGUUAAACUCAAUGUUUUGACUUGAAUCAUCUGUUUCCAUGUGAAUCUUUGGGCUUCAUUGAAUCUUUUAGGAUGAUUGAAACAUUGUUUGUGUGAAAAACUCAAAGUUUACCGUCAGUGUUUCAUUAGUUUGUAGGAUUUGAACCGUUUGUUGAGAAUAAAUGUUGGUUUUAAAGGUUUUACUGCAGAUCAGAACUAAAAAUACUGAUCAAAGUAUCGACAUGUUGAGGUCUGAAACUAGAACUCUGACCUCAGUUUUAAUAUUUGGGUUCUAAAACAGUGAAGUUCAUUUAAAGGAAUUUAGUUUUUGAACUAAGGUUUGGGUUCAGACGUAAAGUUUUCUGUUGUUUUCAGGAACUUUGUGUUGAAACAAAAACUCUGAAAGGUUUCAUUUAAACUUUGAGGUUCUGGUUCUGUGAUUGGUUCGGGUCGGUUCACAGCAGAUAUGUUUGUUUCUUCCACCUUCAGCCACCUGAAGGAAACUGGAACUCAGAGCUGAAGCAGUUUUUGUGGUUCUGGUUUCUGAUCUGAAACUCCAGACUUGGGUCCGGUUCUGCUGCUGGACCCGGUUCGUCAUCCUCAGUGCAAAUCAACCUACAGCUUCUAAACGUCUAAAACUCCUCAACAUGCAAACAGCAGCUUCGGCCCGUUUCUGUCUUUGUGCCUUCAGAUGUUUCAGAACCGGUUUGGACCCGAACUCUGGCAGCAGCUCAGACCUUCACCCCCUCAGAACCCGCUCUCUGGUCCGGGUCCUGCUGGUUCUAGUCUUUGAAGCUCUGCUGCAGCUGUC